AGGGCACCACCAGGAGUGGAGCCUGCGGCUUAAUUUGACUCAACACGGGAAAACUCACCCGGCCCGGACACUGGAAGGAUUGACAGAUUGAGAGCUCUUUCUUGAUUCAGUGGGUGGUGGUGCAUGGCCGUUCUUAGCUGGUGGAGUGAUUUGUCUGGUUAAUUCCGAUAACGAACGAGACUCUAGCCUAUUAAAUAGAUCGUUGGCUUACAAACGCCGGCGAGACUUCUUAGAGGGACAGGCGGCGAUUCAGCCGCACGAAACAGAGCAAUAACAGGUCUGUGAUGCCCUUAGAUGUCCGGGGCCGCACGCGCGCUACACUGAAGUGAUCAGCGUGCAUUUUGAAACCUACUCUGUCAAGAGUGGGGAACCCAAUGAACCUUCUUCGUGAUUGGGAUAGGGGAUUGUAAUUAUUCCCCUUGAACGAGGAAUUCCCAGUAAGCGCGAAUCAUAAGUUUGCGCUGAUUACGUCCCUGCCCUUUGUACACACCGCCCGUCGCUACUACCGAUUGAAUGUUU
This 519-nucleotide ribosomal RNA is filed under the name uncultured eukaryote. RNAcentral's name for it is "SSU rRNA". It matches the Rfam family "Eukaryotic small subunit ribosomal RNA", at positions 1161 to 1698 of the family's 1831-position model. The record is from RNAcentral.